UUAUUUGUUCAGGUGGGUGUCUGCUUGCUCCAUGGCCUGCUUUCUAUAACUAGUUCCUACCUUCUCAUCUCUCAGACAUUUCUUCUCCUCAUCCCUCAACCCACAUGGCAAAUUUAUGCAUAAAAACAAAAUAUGUAUCCAGGAAGUUAGCUCAAUGGUAGAACACUUACCUAGCAUGUGUGAAGCCUUGGCUUUCAUCCCAACACCAAAAAUAUCAUUCAUACUUAUUUUGUGUCUUCCAGAAAUUAAAUCUUUAGUUACAAAAUUCACUUUGUACUCUCAUCAUUCAAGUAUCCCCUCUGGAAUGUUUAUUAUGUUUCUUUUCUUCUUGAUGAGUCUCUUUAUUUUAAUGUUAUCUUUAUUUCAUCUCUAGCAGAUUGGAAUAGUCUAUAGACUCUACCUUUGAGUAAUUUGCUCUGUAAUAGUGAUUUGGUUACAUUUAUCAGUUUUUUUUUUCUAUUUAGAAAGAAGAUUACUGAGAGUGGUGGUUGUGGUGCAUGUCUUCUUCUCAACAAAGCAGGCUGAAGUAGGAGGAUCUUGAGUUCAAGGCCAGCCUUGACAAUAUAGGGAUCCAUGUUGCCAUAAUGCAAGAUCAAGAGGACUAGAAGAAAUCUUUUUGUUCUUUAUAUUAUUUCUGGAUGAUCUGUAGACUCAAAAAUGCUGAAUUGGAUAUAGACUGAAAUUCCUCAUCCAAGGCCUGUGACUCAGUGGAUGCACAAUAAUCUUGGCUCUGUCUCUUUUGACUGUUCCACAGAUGGGGUUGGACUUGGUAGACUAGGCCAGCCAGAACAUAUAAUCCUCCUGACUUAAGACUCCUGAGUACUGGGAAUACAGGAGUUUGUUUUAUAAUAAAAAUAUAUCAUGGAUCUGGGAAGCAAAACCUUGGUGAUGACAUUUGGACAACUGCCAACUUUUUUUUUCACUGUGCACCUGCAGUCCUUCUAUGUUGAUUAUUUUGCAUAUAUGUGAGUAUAUACAUUCUAGGAAUGGAAAUCCUGGCUUAAAAUACAUUUUCGGUUUUGCUA
Molecule: long non-coding RNA, 1025 nt
Organism: Dipodomys ordii (Ord's kangaroo rat)
Lineage: Eukaryota; Metazoa; Chordata; Mammalia; Rodentia; Heteromyidae
Exons: 4
Source: RefSeq, a predicted model, not a curated record